UUUACGGAGAGUUUGAUCCUGGCUCAGGACGAACGCUGGCGGCGUGCUUAACACAUGCAAGUCGAACGAUGAUGCCCAGCUUGCUGGGUGGAUUAGUGGCGAACGGGUGAGUAACACGUGAGUAACCUGCCCCUGACUCUGGGAUAAGCGUUGGAAACGACGUCUAAUACUGGAUAUGAUCACUGGCCGCAUGGUCUGGUGGUGGAAAGAUUUUUUGGUUGGGGAUGGACUCGCGGCCUAUCAGCUUGUUGGUGAGGUAAUGGCUCACCAAGGCGACGACGGGUAGCCGGCCUGAGAGGGUGACCGGCCACACUGGGACUGAGACACGGCCCAGACUCCUACGGGAGGCAGCAGUGGGGAAUAUUGCACAAUGGGCGAAAGCCUGAUGCAGCAACGCCGCGUGAGGGAUGACGGCCUUCGGGUUGUAAACCUCUUUUAGUAGGGAAGAAGCGAAAGUGACGGUACCUGCAGAAAAAGCACCGGCUAACUACGUGCCAGCAGCCGCGGUAAUACGUAGGGUGCAAGCGUUGUCCGGAAUUAUUGGGCGUAAAGAGCUCGUAGGCGGUUUGUCGCGUCUGCUGUGAAAUCCCGAGGCUCAACCUCGGGCUUGCAGUGGGUACGGGCAGACUAGAGUGCGGUAGGGGAGAUUGGAAUUCCUGGUGUAGCGGUGGAAUGCGCAGAUAUCAGGAGGAACACCGAUGGCGAAGGCAGAUCUCUGGGCCGUAACUGACGCUGAGGAGCGAAAGCAUGGGGAGCGAACAGGAUUAGAUACCCUGGUAGUCCAUGCCGUAAACGUUGGGCGCUAGAUGUAGGGGCCUUUCCACGGUUUCUGUGUCGUAGCUAACGCAUUAAGCGCCCCGCCUGGGGAGUACGGCCGCAAGGCUAAAACUCAAAGGAAUUGACGGGGGCCCGCACAAGCGGCGGAGCAUGCGGAUUAAUUCGAUGCAACGCGAAGAACCUUACCAAGGCUUGACAUACACCGGAAACGGCCAGAGAUGGUCGCCCCCUUGUGGUCGGUGUACAGGUGGUGCAUGGUUGUCGUCAGCUCGUGUCGUGAGAUGUUGGGUUAAGUCCCGCAACGAGCGCAACCCUCGUUCUAUGUUGCCAGCGGGUUAUGCCGGGGACUCAUAGGAGACUGCCGGGGUCAACUCGGAGGAAGGUGGGGAUGACGUCAAAUCAUCAUGCCCCUUAUGUCUUGGGCUUCACGCAUGCUACAAUGGCCGGUACAAAGGGCUGCGAUACCGUAAGGUGGAGCGAAUCCCAAAAAGCCGGUCUCAGUUCGGAUUGAGGUCUGCAACUCGACCUCAUGAAGUCGGAGUCGCUAGUAAUCGCAGAUCAGCAACGCUGCGGUGAAUACGUUCCCGGGCCUUGUACACACCGCCCGUCAAGUCAUGAAAGUCGGUAACACCCGAAGCCGGUGGCCUAACCCUUGUGGAAGGAGCCGUCGAAGGUGGGAUCGGUGAUUAGGACUAAGUCGUAACAAGGUAGCCGUACCGGAAGGUGCGGCUGGAUCACCUCCUUU
This 1522-nucleotide ribosomal RNA is filed under the name Curtobacterium flaccumfaciens. RNAcentral's name for it is "bacterial SSU rRNA". It matches the Rfam family "Bacterial small subunit ribosomal RNA". The record is from RNAcentral. Lineage: Bacteria; Bacillati; Actinomycetota; Actinomycetes; Micrococcales; Microbacteriaceae.